UAACCUGCCCAAGAGAUCGGGAUAACACCUGGAAACAGAUGCUAAUACCGGAUAACAACAGAUGAUGCCUAUCAACUGUUUAAAAGAUGGUUCUGCUAUCACUCUUUGAUGGACCUGCGGUGCAUUAGCUAGUUGGUAGGGUAACGGCCUACCGAGGCGAUGAUGCAUAGCCGAGUUUAGAGACUGAUCGGCCACAUUGGGACUGAGACACGGCCCAAACUCCUACGGGAGGCAGCAGGC
Molecule: ribosomal RNA, 240 nt
Filed under: uncultured Lactobacillus sp.
Lineage: Bacteria; Bacillati; Bacillota; Bacilli; Lactobacillales; Lactobacillaceae
Description: partial 16S ribosomal RNA
Rfam family: Bacterial small subunit ribosomal RNA
Source: RNAcentral